RNAcentral lists this ribosomal RNA (253 nucleotides) under uncultured bacterium. RNAcentral's name for it is "partial 16S ribosomal RNA". It matches the Rfam family "Bacterial small subunit ribosomal RNA", at positions 524 to 776 of the family's 1533-position model. The record is from RNAcentral.
GACGUAGGGCGCGAGCGUUGUCCGGAUUUAUUGGGCGUAAAGAGCUCGUAGGCGGCUUGUCGCGUCGAUCGUGAAAACUCACAGCUCAACUGUGAGCUUGCGGUCGAUACGGGCAGGCUCGAGUUCGGUAGGGGAGACUGGAAUUCCUGGUGUAGCGGUGAAAUGCGCAGAUAUCAGGAGGAACACCGGUGGCGAAGGCGGGUCUCUGGGCCGAUACUGACGCUGAGGAGCGAAAGCGUGGGGAGCGAACAGG